This 427-nucleotide ribosomal RNA is filed under the name Boophis doulioti. RNAcentral describes it as "partial large subunit ribosomal RNA". It matches the Rfam family "Bacterial large subunit ribosomal RNA", at positions 2007 to 2597 of the family's 2925-position model. The record is from RNAcentral. Lineage: Eukaryota; Metazoa; Chordata; Amphibia; Anura; Mantellidae.
AGGAUCACACUGUCUCCCGCCCCUAAUCAGUGAAACUGAUCUCCCCGUGAAGAAGCGGGGAUUUUUUUAUAAGACGAGAAGACCCCAUGGAGCUUUAAACCCGAUGACACCCCCGCCCUAUUUAGGCCUACGCAUUCGUUGGGGACCUGUUCACUCGGUUUUAGGUUGGGGUGACCGCGGAGUAAAACAAAACCUCCACGAAGAAUGGGCUUACCCCCUUAUCCAAGAGAGACAUCUCUAAGAAUUAGCAAACUAACAUCUAAUGAUCCGAUUUUUCGAUCAACGAACCAAGUUACCCUGGGGAUAACAGCGCAAUCCACUUCAAGAGCUCAUAUCGACAAGUGGGUUUACGACCUCGAUGUUGGAUCAGGGUAUCCCAGUGGUGCAGCAGCUACUAAUGGUUCGUUUGUUCAACGAUUAAAACCCU